This 417-nucleotide ribosomal RNA is filed under the name uncultured eukaryote. Its description in RNAcentral is "bacterial SSU rRNA". It matches the Rfam family "Eukaryotic small subunit ribosomal RNA", at positions 23 to 425 of the family's 1831-position model. The record is from RNAcentral.
GUCAUAUGCUUGUCUAAAAGAUUAAGCCAUGCAAGUGUAAGUAUAAAUAGACAAAUUAUUGUACUAUGAGACUGCGAAUGGCUCAUUAAAAUCAGCAAUCAUUUAUUCGGUGGAUCGAAGUAAUUCUAAAAUGGAUAACCGUGGGAAAUCUAGAGCUAAUACAUGCAAAAGAGAAUUCUUUGAAAAAGGAAUGCAUAUAUUAGAUACAAAUCCAAAAAUACAAAGGUGAAUCAUAAUAUUUAUAGCAAAUUAUACAGAGGAAGUAAUUCUUCUUGAUAAUAAACCGAUCAAAUUUCUGCCCUAUCAUACUUUGGACGGUAAUGUAGUGGAUUACGGUGGUGAUGACGGGUAACGGAGAAUUAGGGUUUUGAUUCCGGAGAGGGAGCAUGAGAAAUAGGCUACCACUUCCAAGGAAGG